RNAcentral lists this ribosomal RNA (253 nucleotides) under uncultured bacterium. RNAcentral describes it as "partial 16S ribosomal RNA". It matches the Rfam family "Bacterial small subunit ribosomal RNA", at positions 524 to 776 of the family's 1533-position model. The record is from RNAcentral.
UACGAAGGGGGCUAGCGUUGCUCGGAAUCACUGGGCGUAAAGGGUGCGUAGGCGGGUUUUUAAGUCAGAGGUGAAAUCCUGGAGCUCAACUCCAGAACUGCCUUUGAUACUGAAAAUCUUGAGUAUGGGAGAGGUGAGUGGAACUGCGAGUGUAGAGGUAAAAUUCGUAGAUAUUCGCAAGAACACCAGUGGCGAAGGCGGCUCACUGGCCCAUAACUGACGCUGAGGCACGAAAGCGUGGGGAGCAAACAGG